This 465-nucleotide ribosomal RNA is filed under the name Vreelandella stevensii. RNAcentral describes it as "partial 16S ribosomal RNA". It matches the Rfam family "Bacterial small subunit ribosomal RNA", at positions 338 to 795 of the family's 1533-position model. The record is from RNAcentral. Lineage: Bacteria; Pseudomonadati; Pseudomonadota; Gammaproteobacteria; Oceanospirillales; Halomonadaceae.
CCUACGGGUGGCAGCAGUGGGGAAUAUUGGACAAUGGGCGAAAGCCUGAUCCAGCCAUGCCGCGUGUGUGAAGAAGGCCUUCGGGUUGUAAAGCACUUUCAGUGGGGAAGAAAGCCUUGGGGCUAAUACCCUCGAGGAAGGACAUCACCCACAGAAGAAGCACCGGCUAACUCCGUGCCAGCAGCCGCGGUAAUACGGAGGGUGCGAGCGUUAAUCGGAAUUACUGGGCGUAAAGCGCGCGUAGGCGGUCUGAUAAGCCGGUUGUGAAAGCCCCGGGCUCAACCUGGGAACGGCAUCCGGAACUGUCAGGCUAGAGUGCAGGAGAGGAAGGUAGAAUUCCCGGGGUAGCGGUGAAAUGCGUAGAGAUCGGGAGGAAUACCAGUGGCGAAGGCGGCCUUCUGGACUGACACUGACGCUGAGGUGCGAAAGCGUGGGUAGCAAACAGGAUUAGAUACCCCGGUAGUC